AGUGAAUAGAUACCCAGGUAGUCCACGCUGUAAACGAUGAUUACUCGAUGUUGGCGAUACACAGUCAGCGUCUGAGCGAAAGCAAUAAGUAAUCCACCUGGGGAGUACGAUCGCAAGAUUGAAACUCAAAGGAAUUGACGGGGGCCCGCACAAGCGGAGGAGCAUGUGGUUUAAUUCGAUGAUACGCGAGGAACCUUACCUGGGCUCGAACGUAAGAUGACUGUAGGUGAAAGCUUACAUCUCUUCGGAGCAUUUUACGAGGUGCUGCAUGGUUGUCGUCAGCUCGUGCCGUGAGGUGUCGGGUUUAAGUCCCAUAACGAGCGCAACCCCUACCUUUAGUUGCCAACAGGUCAUGCUGGGGACUCUAAAGGAACUGCCUACGCAAGUAGUGAGGAAGGCGGGGAUGACGUCAAAUCAGCACGGCCCUUACGUCCAGGGCUACACACGUGCUACAAUGGCCGAUACAGAGGGCAGCUACCUGGUGGCAGGAUGCAAAUCUCCAAAGUCGGUCUCAGUUC
RNAcentral lists this ribosomal RNA (518 nucleotides) under uncultured bacterium. RNAcentral describes it as "bacterial SSU rRNA". It matches the Rfam family "Bacterial small subunit ribosomal RNA", at positions 773 to 1294 of the family's 1533-position model. The record is from RNAcentral.